RNAcentral lists this long non-coding RNA (2564 nucleotides) under Lathyrus oleraceus (garden pea). RNAcentral's name for it is "Pisum sativum (pea) long non-coding RNA (PSAT_LNC000355)". The record is from RNAcentral. Lineage: Eukaryota; Viridiplantae; Streptophyta; Magnoliopsida; Fabales; Fabaceae.
UUUUUGCAUGGGAUAAAAAGAUUCAUUUUCAUUUAAUAAUCCAUUUAAUUCAUACAUAUAUCAUUAACACACAAAAAAUUACAAAAUAAUAUAUGACUUUGACCUAUAGUUGACUUUGGUCAACUAUUGACUUUUUGGUCAACCAAUUGACCAAAGUCAACUGACCUAACCCUAGUCUACUUUGGACCUCAUCCCCAUAGUUUCUCUCAUUCUUGCUCAUCCAAGUUCUUCAAAGGUUCUUGAUGCAUUCUACCAUUUCCCCUUGAUGCCUAAACUUUGAACAUGUCAUGCCAAAACCUUCUUAACCAUUGCUAACACCAGCCCUCCAGUAGUGAAGAUGGAUUAGCAUCAUGCACACAUCCAAGUCCCAGAUCAUGAUAUUCAGGCAUACACAUUUAAUAAAAACUAACAUCAACGUUCAUUAACUAAUUAACUCAGUUCCUUUUUAACUAACCAUAAUUCACUUUCAAAAUUCAAUACAAAAACACUAACUCUAAUAACCUCAUAACACCAACAAUGACAUACUAACUCAUUCAUUAGCUUAGCUGGUAAAGACAACCCUCUAGCAUAAUAACCAGAUUGCAACUAACUACCAUGUUAAAGACAUAACAUUGCAAGCAUCUCUAACAGCCUAGCAAAUGGCAGAUUUCGUUUCAAUUCAAUUACACCAUAACAAACAUUGCUUUAAUAUUCACCAUAGCAUAAUUCAUGUUCAAAACUGACCGUCAACAUUGCAUAAAAGCUAACUGCAUCAAUUUCUAACAACAUAAUUCCAUUAACAGCAUAACAUAAAUUCUACCCAAAUCAUAACAAACGGAUUCCCAAAAAACACUUCAGCUAAAUCUAACUCUAACUCUUUAACAUUGCUAACAAUUUACUAACAUCAACUUAACUUGUUGCUAACAAGAGUUCAAAACAAUCAAUUGUUGCAGUGUGAAUAAAAUGAGGCAAAAGGAAAACAACGAACAAGCAGGUUUCGGUUUAACUCAAUAACCUGUUAAUCAAGCCAAACCAAUUAACAUUUCUAGCUUCACUAACAAAUCCAAUCUAACUAAGCAACUCAGCAGACCAUCACCCUGCAACCUGCAUCAAUAAGUCAUCCUGCAGUGUGUCAAAACAACUCAAAAACUUACAACUCAAAAUCAUACCAGUUCAGCAGGUCAACAUCAAAUCCAAUAUCACAUUUCCAUUUAACUUCAAAGAAAAGCAACCUGCAAUAUUCAGUCAAUACCCAAUUCACUAACUAACAUCAAAUGAAUCCCUAAUCUAACUAACAGAAAACCAAAUAACUAACAUUUUCAGUUAACACAUAAAUAACUGUAACAGAUCAAUCCUAACUAACUAUUUUGCAUGACUCACAGAGUUAACAAACUAUAACUGAUUUGCUCAUCAGAAAACUAAUAGAGUCAAGCUCUAUUAAAAGCUGAAACUCUAUAAAUUCACUUGACCACCACCAAUUUCAGGGACCCCCAAUCAUUCCCCACAAUUCACAAGACUCAAUCUUCAUCUUCCUCACUGAAAUCUUCUCCCUCACCCCAAAGCUUUCUUUCUCCAUUGUUUCUCAGAGCUUCACAUUGAAGCUCUGAAACAACAAGACCUGAACCUCUCAAUUUCUGAAUCUCUAUCCCACAAUUCAAUCUCUAUUCUCCUCAUACAAUCAACGAUUACGCAAUUUCAAGAACAACACACAACAUCAACAAUCACAACAAAGAGUAUAAAACGAAGAAGAAGAAGAAGAAGAAGAAGAAGAGAUCACAGUGAUAUAGAAGUGAAGAUUGGAGAAUUUACCUGGUAGAGCCUCUGGUAUUUUCUGUAUUUGUUUGCUUCGAACUCGAGACUCAUCAAACCUGCGGUGUCCGAGGUUAAUUACUCAUCAAACCUUUCCACAUCCCCUUUCUGGAACAAUUAACAACCUUGGGCUUCCUCUUGAGCCCAUUAAUAGUUCAGCUGCUAUCCACACCUUGCUAGAUGAUACACCCCAAGGCCCAUGUUUUUUUCCUUUUAUAUUUCUCUUUGUUAUUUUUCUUGGUAUUUUUGGUAGUUUUUUUUAUUAUUAAUUAUUUCUUCUCUUUACUUUUUUACCAUGAAAGUUAGAAUGAAAUGCAUGUGAUUAUUGGUUAAUAUUCACUUAGAAAUUGAUGUGAUUAGGGUGAUAAAUGGUUUCUUAAUGAUUUUGAAUCGUUUUGAUUAGAUUGAAUAAAAAUACAUUUGCAUGAUAAUGCAAUUUGGUCCAUAAUAUGAUUUGGCCACUUUGGAUAGAUAUCCAUGAUUACAUGCUUUCUUAGAUAAUUUUAGCCACGUUUGGUAUAUGUUCAUGAAUUUUUUUUUUGCCUUAGGAUUUUAGAUCCCUAAUCCUAGUUCAUUGUAUAUAAUUUUCAAUUAAAUUCAUUCCUUUUGAUUAAGUUGAUCGAAAGAUAUUUUUGAUCAACUAAAUCCUUUGAUUGUGUAUGAUUCCCAAUCUUAUUCAAGUGGUCAAAAAACCCUUAAUCACUUGAUAAAGCAAGUCCCCUGUAUUCAAGAUGCACUCGACCUCGGGAGCCGAAGAUAUCAGGAUUAAGAUUCAA